AACGCACGAGACCUGCGGACCUGCGGAGGGAUCAUUAUCGAGUGUUGGUCUCUAAGACCGCCUCCCACCCUUUGUCUAUUGACUUGUUGCUUCGGCGAAUCGCCUUUACCUUCUGGUAAAAGGCCAUUGGCAAUCGCGAAUGUGUAUUCGCCGAAGGAUUUUUAAAAACUCUUGAAUAUCAAGUUGUCUGAGUUUGAAAACAAAAAAAUUAAAACUUUCAACAAUGGAUCUCUAGAUCGG
This 240-nucleotide unclassified non-coding RNA is filed under the name soil metagenome. Its description in RNAcentral is "partial contains 5.8S ribosomal RNA, internal transcribed spacer 2, and large subunit ribosomal RNA". The record is from RNAcentral.